This is a long non-coding RNA of Hippocampus zosterae (dwarf seahorse), 641 nucleotides long. RefSeq lists it as uncharacterized. NCBI's taxonomy places the organism in Eukaryota, Metazoa, Chordata, Actinopteri, Syngnathiformes, Syngnathidae. The record is from RefSeq and is a predicted model, not a curated record. The transcript is spliced from 4 exons.
GUCGCCCAGUGGGUCCUCUUUUGCCCGGGACGCCUGGCUCUCCCUUUGGUCCUUGUUCUCCCUGUGAGAAGAGUAGGACAACAUAGGAGGAGAAAUCCACUUCCAAGGGCUAGCGAGAUGGAUCAGGAAGAGAUGAGCCGAUGACUUACGGAAAGUGAGAAGUGGCUCACCUUUGACCCCGGACGCCCAAUUUCUCCCUGAGAAGCACAAACGAGGGCGAGAAGAGAUUUUGCUCUCAUGAGAGUAACCGCACACGUGCAUCAAGAAGUGACACAAGUGGACCAGAAAAAUGCACCUUUUCCCCUUUUGGUCCUCUUAUGCCAGGUGGGCAAGGGGCCUCCCCACCUCUGGGCCACGGGGUCCUGGUGCUCCUGGUGGCCCAGCUGGGCAACCCGGAUGUUCAUUUUGCUGCUCCUCUCCUCGAAACACUGCUGGCGCUGAUGUGCCGCCACCGUCCUAAAAAACGGGAAAGCGUCACAUGAAGCCUUUCAUGCACCCUGUUUGCCUUGCUUCCAGAGCUGAGGUGGUGGCGGCGGGUAGAGCGGAGGAGGAGGUGGCGACGUCAGACAACAUGGCUGAAACUUGAUUGGUUUAUCCGGCAAGGUGACGACUGCCAGGAAAACGUGGAAGUCACGUUUCGC